AGGUAGUAAAAUUUUUAAAUUUAAACCAUAAAAUUAUGGCGGCAUUUUUUAUUAUUAGAGGAACUUGUUUUAUAAUAGAUAAUACACAAUAAAUUUUACUUAAUUUAUAAAUUUAUAUACCACCAUUAAGAAUAUAUUAUAUAAUUAUAUUCUAAAUAAAAUUCUAAAAAAAUUAGGUAAAGGUAUAAUUUAUAAUUAAGACAAAAUGCGUUACUUUAAAUAUAAUUUAAGGAAAAAUAUUAAAAAAUAAAUUAAAAAAGAAUUUAAAAGUAAUUUUUAAAUAAUAAUUAUAUAAGAAAAUUUUUUUAUUAAAAAUGUGU
RNAcentral lists this ribosomal RNA (320 nucleotides) under Holarchaea sp. CG249. Its description in RNAcentral is "partial 12S ribosomal RNA". Lineage: Eukaryota; Metazoa; Arthropoda; Arachnida; Araneae; Anapidae. The record is from RNAcentral.